RNAcentral lists this unclassified non-coding RNA (304 nucleotides) under uncultured Ascomycota. Its description in RNAcentral is "sequence contains ITS1". The stretch from base 1 to 105 matches the Rfam family "5.8S ribosomal RNA", at positions 50 to 154 of the family's 154-position model. Lineage: Eukaryota; Fungi; Ascomycota. The record is from RNAcentral.
GAAAUGCGAUAAGUAGUGUGAAUUGCAGAAUUCAGUGAAUCAUCGAAUCUUUGAACGCACAUUGCGCCCCUUGGUAUUCCAUGGGGCAUGCCUGUUCGAGCGUCAUUUGUACCUUCAAGCUCUGCUUGGUGUUGGGUGUUUUGUCCUCUCCAUUGCGUUUGGACUCGCCUUAAAGCAAUUGGCAGCCAGUGUAUUGGUUUUAAGCGCAGCACAUCUUGCGUCUUUUUUCCUAUCACACUCGCGUCCAUUAAGCCUUUUUAUCACUUUUGACCUCGGAUCAGGUAGGGAUACCCGCUGAACUUAA